UUAGGUCUCAGCAAAACCAGUUCUUGCUGGGGUUCUGGUAAGAGCAGCUUGGAGGGUGUUUGUGUCAGCCAGAGAAGGGCAGAUCUGGCUUUCCAAGGAAUGGAAACUUUCAGAGGAAAUUAUAAUUCUCAUCUGAUGCAAAAUUGAGAGCACUUUGGAUUUAUCGAUGGAAAAUACCCUGUUUUAGCAAAGAAAAAUCUAAAAACUUUAAUUUCCUCUUCCCCUCCCUCACACACACACACAAUUUGUAGUAGCACAGCAGAUUUGUCUCUUGGUUCAGUGUCUUCCAGCUGCCUAUUGGACUCCUUAGAAGGAAAGGCCAUGCUUCCUACCUUAUGGUGUAGACCUGUGAAUACCCACGUACCUUUGUCUAAGAGCAAGUACCUGCAGCUUCCCCCUCUUCUAUGGCAGAGCUGUAUCCUUCAUGUCAGCAGCAUCACAGACGAGGCAUCUGAGUUGCCUGGUCCCUUGCCAGGCACACAUGAAAGAUUAUGUACUUGGUGUACUGCUAAAGCAGAGAGACACAGACUGUCAGAGCAGCAAGAGUGCUGGAGACACUGAUGCUGCUUCUCAGUUCUUCAAGAGGUUGGGAAGGUUCAAGAAAUGGAGGUUAAAACCAGGUGAAGGCUGGACAGAAAAGGCAAAACAGGAACAGUGAUUUGACACAGAGCAGGUGACAGUGCUCAACCGGAGACACAGAGCAAGGCUGUGGAGGUGCACUGGGGACUGUGAGAAGCACUCAAACCCAAGAAUGCCUUGACUUAAAGCUCUAAAAGUGCUGGCUUCUGAGCACGUAUAACCUUUCCAAGGAGGAAAGGACUGCAUCGCCUGGUUGAAAGCAUCCCACCGUCAGAAAUCCCAUGUUUCUAAGAUGCCCUGGGAUAAUUGAUGCUCGCCUCCUGCCAAGUGCAGGGUGCCACACCUGGAAAGGCAUGCCACAGGAGCCACAUGCUAGACACCAAUAGCAACCCCCCUAUUUUGGGGUGACGGGAGAGACCGCGUUGGCCAGUUUGUCCUCUCGUGAGCAUAGAGAAGUGUCAGACCUGUAACAAGACUGCCUGUCCAACACUGCACCAGGCACAAAAGAUGCUGGAUGCCUGGUAAAUGUGAAGUGCAAGUUGUGCCUGAGCAAGUGGUCCCUCAGGAAAUACUGGGGGGCUCUUUGUGAAGGAGCACUCAGCCUGCUGUAGUUCACUUGAUGAUGGUGUUGACCUGGAGUUCAGAUGGCCAGCUCCUGACCUAGGGAACUGUGUUGUGUCCUGCCAGCGCUUUGUGAGAACCAGUGCAGCAAAGUCAAACCAUGAGGGUCCUUGCAGCAGUAACCCUAUGGUUGCACUGGUCCUGCUGUACCCAGGGCUGCUCUCUGGUCCAUCCAGAGAACAACUCAUGAGAGUACAAGGAGAGGAGAAAGUGUUGCCUUGCAGGAUUUAUCUUCACUGGUGCAUGUAUGCAGGGCUACUGCAGACAGCAUUGUCUAGCAAAACACCUGCUGAGUGAGUAGGUGCUGAUGCUGCUGCCAAGCCACUCUCCUCACCUCCAGGAGCCUCCCUUCCCACCUGUGCCCUGUGCAAAACAGUAUCUCCCACCUCCCUCCCAUCAAUCAAGGUGCAAGAUUUUAUUAGCAAAGCUGCUCAGAUGAGCAAGAAGGAUGGAGCAAGGCGGAAAAAAACACCCUGAAGAGACUGAGAGGCAGGAGUCAACUAACCUGAAGUGAAGGAGGAAAGCCUGCAGGAUUCCCAGUGCACUUGUGGAAAAGAAAGGUUUCUCACCGUGGGCCUGCUCUCCGCCAGCUGCCAUGCAGAUGUUGAUGUGCUUGCUGCCACCUCAAGGAAAAGGAAGAGCAAGAGGAGAGGCAGCAAGUGGGAGCAGCACACCAUGCCCAUUCACAGCCAUCAUGGUGUCGCAUUGAGAAGAUGGUCUUGUCUAUGCUUGCCACCCACUUCUGUUUGCAUGGGAAACACUGACCUAUGAAAUUGCAAUGAGUGAGAAAGGACAGGAGGGAGACCAGGUGUGAGAAAAGCAGACACAAGCAAUCAGGGUAGAGCAUUGUUGGGCACCAGCAGGAGAGGUGGCCAAAUGGGAGCCCAUCCGGGUAGGAGGCAGCAGAAAGAUGUGGCCAUUCAUUUCCCACUGAGGCAUCCUGCCAGUUGCGCACAGGAACCCUUUGCAUGGGAAAAUUAUCAGAGAACAAACCCAGCUCCUAAUCCACUCCUCAGGGCACUCCCAAGCCUCCUCAGCACAAGUGAUGCCAGGGAGAACACCAGAGGUACUGGCCCUGCAUCAAGCAACCAGCAAAGGGGACAGGAAGAAGAUGGGAAAAGGUCAUCAUUAAAGAAAUGUAAAACACUGCUCCGCUUCUCAUCGAAUCUCUUCUUUUUCAUUCCAUUUCUUAAUUUGGAGAAGAAACCCUCUCAUUUGGAGUGCACCAUAUGGUUGCAGAUCACCAAAAUGGAAAAGUCGAUAUCAUCCGACCUUUAGAAGCAGAUGCCCUGGUUUCCCACAGGCAGGGUGCUCAACAACAGGCACACAGCAACUACCUUACAUACAUCUUUCAAGAGCUUUCAUGACAAAAUUGGGCUUGUACUUCCCAAAGCAGUAAGCAAGGUAUGUGGGCUGGGGAUGAUGACUCUGUGUAUAAACUGUAUCUUCACCCUUCCCACCUACCAGUCCCUCCUGGUCACUGCUCUGGCCCUAUGCUAGGACAAGAAUUGCUACCAGGCAUUGUCUGGGAUGCCUUGUCUAUGCAUUAUUUGCCUGCCUUGAUGAUACAGCCUGUUUCUUCAGGCUAUCUGAGAAUGACACUUUUUAGGGACCUUCACCAUGGCCACAAGCUUGUCUUUUCUUACACUUCAUAGUUUUUGGCCUCUCCACAUCUGCUAUGUAGUGCUGAGAAAUGCAUGGCCUUUGGUUGAGUAUGUGAAGGGGUCUCCCUGUGCCUAUCUCAGAUUGGACCUCUUAACCACAGGUCUGGUUUUUGUUGUUGUUUUCUCCAGUCUUAUACUUUGAAGCAACAUCUUGUUGCUUGGUAAGGCCAAGAAAGCCUUUCCUGUAAAUUUGCAGUCUGCUUCGCUGCAGCUGUACUUUAAGUGUGACUGCAGCAGGCCCCUCUCCUUCCCAUGUGUACACUUCCCCAUCCCCAUUGCAGGUGGCUCUGUGAGCAUCUCUUGCCCCACUGCUUCCUAAUGGCAAGUGUGUAGCUCCCAGUGCUACGGCAGCUCUCAGUCAGGCAGAAGAAAGCCAAGCUUCCUCAGAACCAGCCUUGGACAUGGGGGUAAAGCCACUCAGGCAUUCAAGUGGAUCAGGUUUGAUACAGCUGAUCAAGUGUGCUGCAGUGCAGAGCAUCUGGCUGGAUGUAGAGCCACUGCUUUGCCUAACAUGCCAGGUCACCUUCAUGCCAGGUCUUCCCCACCUGUAGAGGCAGUGGGCCAGAUGAUGCUGGGCAGCAAGAGGGGGUCAUACCCAUUUAGGGUGAGGCAUCUCACCCACCAGCUGGAGUUAGGAUUUUUGAAACUUUUCUGCCAUAUCCCUAACCCCAAACCCAUCCACUUCUGUGGAUGUUGCACACAGGUGCACUCUGCCUCAUCCCCAGGCAACAUUCCCUACCUCAGCAAUUCACUGAACAAGUCAUGUCCUCAUGUCCCUACACCUAGGCUCCUCUGUCUUCAUCUGUUGUAGCCCCCUGUCUUUAUUAUGCAUCUCUCCCCUCUCUUCCUGUCCCCUUGUGUUAGGCACGUUGGGGUGAAUCCCAUCCCUUGUGGCAAACCCCUUACCUUUAGCAAGCAGAGGGCUCGCAGUUAUUUACCAGGGAAAGGGUAAGCCACAGCAUUUAUAUAAAACAUAUUAAUAAUUUUGCCCUUUCUCUCCACAUUUACCAAAUUGAUUUUUGAACUGCUAGCAGUUGUAUUGCAAUAAAUAUAGUUGAAAUCCA
This is a long non-coding RNA of Melopsittacus undulatus (budgerigar), 3928 nucleotides long. RefSeq lists it as uncharacterized. The transcript has 12 exons. The record is from RefSeq and is a predicted model, not a curated record. Lineage: Eukaryota; Metazoa; Chordata; Aves; Psittaciformes; Psittaculidae.